This 345-nucleotide ribosomal RNA is filed under the name Triticum aestivum (bread wheat). RNAcentral's name for it is "partial small subunit ribosomal RNA". The record is from RNAcentral. Lineage: Eukaryota; Viridiplantae; Streptophyta; Magnoliopsida; Poales; Poaceae.
AUGGCAGCAUCGCGGGGUUCAAUAUCAAGGAUGCCGUCGAGGUGCACAGCAGAGACGGCGCGGGCCACGGUCGCGUUCGAGAUCGCCGGCUACAGCCUGCUCAAAUGCCUCCGUUCUCCGGCAUUCUCAGUCGGCGGCUACGAAUGGUGCAUCGACUACUUCCCCGACGGAAGCAAAAGCGAGGCAGGCGAGGGUCACGUCUCCGUCUUCCUCAGGCUCUUGAGCAAGAACGCCAAGGUGAGGGCGCUCUAUAACUUGAUGCUUGUGGAGCCGGUUGGGGGGAAGUCAAUUGUGGUGUGCCCCUUAAGAAAGCCACUAGUGUUCGACCCUAAAAGGAUAUCUUGA